GGGGAAUAUUGCUCAAUGGGGGAAACCCUGACGCAGCGACGCCGUGUGAGGGAAGAAGGCUUUCUGGUCGUAAACCUCUGUCGGGAAGGAAGAACCCCCCAGGUCCGAAUAGGGCCUGGGGCUGACGGUACUUGCAAAGGAAGCACCGGCUAACUCCGUGCCAGCAGCCGCGGUAAUACGGAGGGUGCAAGCGUUAAUCGGAAUCACUGGGCGUAAAGCGCGCGUAGGCGGCUUUUUAAGUCGGACGUGAAAGCCCUCGGCUCAACCGGGGAAUUGCGUUCGAAACUGGGAGGCUUGAGUCCUGGAGAGGGUGGCGGAAUUUCCUGUGUAGCGGUGAAAUGCGUAGAUAUAUGAAGGUACACCAGUGGCGGAGGCGACCACCUGGACUGAUACUGACACUGAGGUGCGAAAGCGUGGGGAGCAAACA
This 427-nucleotide ribosomal RNA is filed under the name uncultured Pseudomonadota bacterium. RNAcentral describes it as "bacterial SSU rRNA". It matches the Rfam family "Bacterial small subunit ribosomal RNA", at positions 356 to 774 of the family's 1533-position model. Lineage: Bacteria; Pseudomonadati; Pseudomonadota. The record is from RNAcentral.